Molecule: long non-coding RNA, 1079 nt
Filed under: Carica papaya (papaya)
Lineage: Eukaryota; Viridiplantae; Streptophyta; Magnoliopsida; Brassicales; Caricaceae
Description: long non-coding RNA (CPAP_LNC013525)
Source: RNAcentral
AAGAAGAGGAAUUUAAGGAUUUGAGAGAGAAUUCAAAUCCACGUAAUUCCUUAAAAAUCUCAAGAAUAUCCUCCUUUAUUACAUGCCAAAAUUUUGUAGCAAACCCAUGUUGAAACCACUGGGACUUGGGGCUUUAUUCCUUCUAUAGUGCAUGAGUUGCUCAAGGAUCCCCUCCUCAGUGAACUCUCUUUCAAGUGAUUCUUGACCCAGCUCAUUCAAAGACAUGAAGUUGAAACCAUCCAACUUGGGCCUCCAACUAAACUCCCUCAAAUAGAAUCUAUAGAAGAAUUCUAGGACCCCUUGCCUCAACUACUCAUUACUCUUCACUAUCUAGUCGUCUAUCUCGAUCUCCUCCACAUAGUUAAUCCUCCUAUGAUGAUUUGCCUUGUAUGGGAGACUUUUGUAUUUCUACCUCCUCCUUUAUCCACCUAUCUCUCGAAUUUUAUCUCUGCGAUAUUUUAACAUUGUUCAGGACAUUGUUCUCUAAAUAAUUUUUUCCUGUUUAACCACUUUACACAUUUUUAUAAACGAGUAUAAAUUAAGUUAGAAAAUGAAAAUUUCAAAAUAUUUUGUCUACGAAAUGAAGUCUAGAUGCAUUUCCAGCUCCUGUAUUACAGAGUUUGUGCAAAUCAUUAAGUCAAAUAAGUUGAGCUUUUGGAGGUUGGAGUACUCUAGAGUCACAAGGUACUUUACAGAUAUAAGGAAAAGGAUAUGUCGAGGAUUCUUCAGAAAGAAAGAAAAUAGGAGAGGAAAGAGAAAAUAAGAGAGAAUUUGUAGCAAGUUAAAGUGAUGUAGAACGAGAAGCGGUUAAACCAAUUUGUCAGAUAGUUUAAAAUGAGGAAAUUUAGGUGAAAAUAGAAGCAUAAAGAUAGGGUAGAGGAAAUUGAGGAUCAAUGUGAACAAAUAUUGGGAGAAAUAGAAUGAAUAAAAUAGAUUAGAUUAAAGAAAAAAAUAAAUAAGAAGGAAAGAAACCCUAGCAAAGGAAGUCUUAAUUCAUUUUAAUUUAUUCUUCUUUUUUUUUAAAUAUUCUUUCUCAUGUCAUCACAUUAGUGAUGAGAUCAAAUUAAGGGUGAUAUUUC